RNAcentral lists this long non-coding RNA (1103 nucleotides) under Coffea arabica (coffee). Its description in RNAcentral is "long non-coding RNA (CARA_LNC008355)". The record is from RNAcentral. Lineage: Eukaryota; Viridiplantae; Streptophyta; Magnoliopsida; Gentianales; Rubiaceae.
UGAUGAAAAUGAUGAAUUUCAAUUGUGUUUCAAUGAGCAAAUGUCCAUUUCACAUGAUAAUAUCUUUGGAACUAACUUUGAACCUCAAGAGGUAAGUUUUAAUGACUCAUUUUUCACCCCUCUUGAGGAGUGUAUAAAAAGUACAGGUUUUAAAGAUAUUCCUGCCCAAGAUACUUUCAUAACAUUUCCUUUGGUAAGUUCUCAAGUGGUGCAUAUUCAAGGUAAUAUCUAUGAAACACUUGGAAUAUGUGAGUCACUUCCAUUUCUCACAUCAUUAGAACAUGUGGCUUUCGCGAUAAAGCCACCUUUUAAUGAUCCACCACGGCCUAAAAUGGUGGAUUAUUCGUUAACUAAGGCUCCUUGAAAAAAAAGGUGAAAUAGUCAAGCUAUUGACUUUAAAGAAGCGCUUAUUGGGAGGCAACCCAAUGUUUGUUUAAGUUCAUGUUACUUUGGAGUGAUUUUAUGUUUAAAGUAUGAGUUUGAGUUAUUUUGUUAUUUUUCAUUUGUAGGUUUUGGAAAUGAAAGCAAAAGUGACCAAAUGAGGUGAAAAAGGCGAAAUUUGAUCAAGGAACUCAACCCCUCGAUUUGAGUAAUUGUUGUUUUUGAUUCGUUACAAGGGGUUAAAAUGCAUAUUUUGAUCAUUUUACAUGUGCAUGUAUUGAGUAUUUUAGCAAAGGAAUGAUCUAUGAUGCAUUUUGAGUAAUUAGGGUACCUUUUGUAAUUUUGCAAAAGUUGAAUUUCUGCUAAAAUUUGCAGCAGAAAACGUGUUUUUCAAAGAAAACGCACCACAAAGUCGCGUAUUCAGCUAAUCGCGUUUUCAAUUCUGCGCCUGCAGAAAAGAAAACGCGCCUUAAAAACGCGACUAUAAGGCGCGUUUUUAAGAAUACUCGCGUUUUACAGCCUGAUCAAAAAUAAAAAACGCGCCUUCAAAUACGCGACUCCAAGUCGCGUUUUAUAACACAGUCGCGUUUUGGAUCCUGCAAGAUAUGUGAAGAAACGCGACUUCACAAAACGCGGCUUGGUGGCGCGUUUUCAUGAGUCGCGUUUUCGGAGCAAAAAAAAAAAAUGCAGAUUCCUUGAUUAUCUUUUUUCUUCUUUUCCUC